CGCCGCCCCCCUUGUGUGGCGCUUCGCCUAUGUAUGGCGCAUGGGUAAAGCCACGGACCAGACUGGCUGGGGCAUAACCAACCCUAGCCUUCCUCUCUGUUUCGCCGUCCCCAUCUUUCUCCCCGUCUUCCUCUCCUUCGCCCGUCGCCGACUUCUUGCUGCCUCUCCCGCCGUCGAACCUCAGAUCCAGUCAGCUUCUAGGGUUCGAUCUUUGGUGUGGACGAUGCAUCUCGGUUCUUCGCCUGGUUGAUUGCGAUGGAUGAGGAUUAGGGUUAGGGUUGGCCCUUGGUCUUCGUUUGCGGCGUCGUCCUUGUCUUCUGUUUACAAGUGAUUGGGUCUGCUGUGGUUGAUUCGUGCGAGGGUGCCUGUCGACGGUCCUGGAGCAGUGCUGCAUACUGUUGAGUUCCAGAAGAGGGGUCUGCCACAUGCUCACAUAUUGAUUUGGCGGAUAGGAAGCCCAGGUUAAUUCAUGAGGAGAUGUCAUAUGAUGCUGUUUCAUUGGCUAGAGAGGCACCUGUUAUGUUCCAUAGUUUAAAUACUGAUCAGGUAGCCGCCUAUAAUAUGAUUGUUGAUUGCGUUCGAUCAGGAAAACCAGGUUUCUUCUUUGUUUCUGGGUAUGGAGGUACUGGGAAAACCUAUCUUUGGAGUUCAAUUUGUGCUUUACUUAGAGGUGAGAGAAAGAUAGUACUUACUGUUGCGACGUCGGGGAUUGCGUCCCUACUGUUGCCUGGUGGGAGAACUGCACAUUCUCAUUUUAAAAUACCUAUUAACAUCGAUGAUGAUAUGUUAUGUGAUAUUAAGAGAGGUUCUUGCCUUUGUAAACUGUUUGAGGCAACUUCUUUGGUUAUUUGGGAUGAGGCGCUUAUGACACAUAGGAAGUGUUGCGUGAUAUUCUUUCCGCACAUGAUGCAUCGCGUGCAGACCUCCCGUUUGGUGGACUGGUCAUGGUUGUAGGAGGGGAUCUUAGACAGAUAUUGCCAGUUAUUGAAGGGGGUACCAGGCCUCAGAUUAUUGAUGCAGCCAUCACAAAUUCUCCGCUAUGGUGCAAUGUUCAGACCCUGCCCCUUACAAUUAACAUGCGAUUGGCUGUGCCAAAUGCAAAUGCUAGGGUACAAGAAGCUGCUGCUUUGUUCAGUAGGUGGGUGCUAGAUCUUGGUGAGGGGAGACUGCCUGUUACGAAGCGAGGUGAUGAGUCAGGGGCUUCUUGGAUAGAAAUACCAGAUGAUCUGUUGGUUCAGGCCGAUGGGAAUCCAAUAUCUGCCAUCGUCUCUUCCAUUUACAUUGACUUUCUGGAUAAUUAUGUAAGACCUGACUAUUUGCGAGAGCGAUCCAUUCUAGCAACGACCAAUGACUUUGCCAAGGACAUAAAUGUUCAUGUUAUGAGUUUGGUUCCAACCGUUAGCAGAGAGUAUUUGAGCGCCGAUUCCAUAGAUAGCUCUGGAGAUUGUGUUCAAGAGGAAAACCUGUUUUAUCCUGUGGAGUAUUUGAAUACUAUAAAAAUCAUUAAUUUUCCCUGCCACAAGCUUACUCUUAUAAAAGGGGUUCCGAUUAUGCUGUUAAGAAAUCUGAGCCAGGCGAAUGGUCUUUGUAAUGGCACACGCCUUAUUGUAAAAGAUAUGGGCGAUCAUGUCAUUGAGGCUGUUAUAAUAACAGGGUCCCACAUAGGUGAUACCGUCUACAUCCCUAGAAUUGAAUUGUUGUCAAAGCAGUCAAAAGCAUCGUUUGUACUUCGACGCCGCCAGUUUCCAGUGUGUGUGUGCUAUGCUAUGACAAUCAAUAAAAGCCAGGGCCAGACGUUAUCUUUGGUUGGUGUAUAUCUUAAAAAACUCGUCUUCACCCAUGGCCAGCUGUAUGUAGCCGUGUCUCGUGUUACUUCGAGAGAUUCCUUGAAGAUCCUUAUAGUUAAUGAUGAUGGCACCUGUGGCUCCGAGACGAAAAAUGUUGUCUUCCCGGAGAUCUUUUGAUCUGCUGGGAUGGCGUAGUGCUACUGCGCGGUGAUUUGUAUUUUGUGCUGUGUAUGGUUGUUCUUUUGGUACUCUACAGGCCUAUUAUGAUCAUGCUUUGCUUCAGUACUUGUGUACAGAUAUAAGAUCUCUUAGAUCUAGGGUUUUCUUGAAUUGCACUUUAUUAUUGUCUUCUUUUACAUUACGAUGAUCUAUCUGUUAUCCGUACGUACCAUGAUUUAUGCCUUUUGGACAUUUUGCCUUCUGUUUUGCUGUGCUUUUGCUACGGCUUUGCUGCAGAUGUCGAUCACUGCUUUGGAUGAACUUGUCCCAGGAAUUAGCACUGUCAUGGUUCGUGUUUUCAUCUCGCGGAUGUGGCACCAUCGUGGGGCCACAGACGUUGGGCCCAUAAAGCACACCGACUUAGUCUUCCUAGAUGCUGAGGGUAGCCACAUAUAUGCUGAAAUAUCUGAGAAGCAGGUGUCAAAGUUCAUGGGUAAAAUCGUCGAAGGUUGUGCGUAUGAUGUAUACUAGUUCUUGGUGUUUCCAAAUAAAAAUUACUUCAAGCCCGUCGAUUCGACGAACAUGAUCAGAUUUAAUAGGUUCACCACUGUUGAACCAACCGUUGAGACGGACCUUGAAUUCCCAUUCUACACUUAUUCGCUCACUAAACUGGCCCACCUGCCUGCGCCCCUUGAGAGGCCUCCUUUCUUUACAGAUGUGCUUGGCCUUAUCGUUGCCGUGUCAGACACCAUGCAGUAUCACAGUUCAAGCAGGGCCCAACCUUUUGUGAAACGAAUUGUCACCAUUCGGGAUCUCAGUGGGUAUCAGAUAAAUGUUGUGCUUUGGGGCGAGCAUGCAACGGUGUUUGAUGCAGAGGAGGUCAUCACAAUUGGUCUGACCGGACCAGUCUUCGUUCUGUUUGUUGGCACUCUGGUCAAAAACUAUGAAGGUCGAAGGGGGGUUAGCGGAAGUGCAGCGUGUCGGUGGUACAUUAAUGAUGACAUUACUGAAAUAUCAUAUUUUCAUGAGAGGUUACAGGGCAAGUUCUCUCCUGUAGAAAAGAUACGUUUACCAGGACAGACGAUGGCUCAAGUGGCUGCACAUGUUGAAAUGGAAACUAAGACGGUGGCAGAGCUGCUGGCUUUAGAUAUAUACAAGCAUAAGGAAGCCAGUUUCUUCACCUCGAUUACAUUGGCUAGGCUCAGUCCUGGGCAGCGCUGGUGGUUCAUGUGCUGUGAGAAAUGUCAUAAAACUUCCCAGCCAUAUGGGUCUGUCUACAGGUGCAAUGAUACCAAAUGUUCAUGCACCGAUGCACGGCCAAGGUAUCGGAUCUGUUUCGUGGGGGCUGAUGAUACAGGUGAGGCUGAGUUCGUCUUAUUUGAUAGAGCCGGCAGGGAUGCUGUUGAUAAAUCUCUGAUCACCCUGCUACGCGAGGGGAAUUCUAACCGGAUGCCUCUUAACGAGGUUGUUCAAAUGGCCCGUGGGACUGAUGCCCUUCCCCGUGAGCUUUCUACAUUGAUUGGCCAAAAGUAUCGAUUUGUGGUGUCUAUCUCGUCAAAGAGUUUCCAACCAGAGGCAGAAGAGACCUCAUACCAGGUCAACCGUAUUGAUGUUCCAGUGGAAAAGGGGUCCCGUUCCACAGUUGAGUAUCGCAAGGCUGAUUCUUCUGAACAGUUUGAAAGUGAUACAGGCUCACUGGCCCUUGCUGGUGUUGCUGACUCUACUGUGCUUCCCACUGAGUCCAUCCCAUCCUUAACCACCACGGAUCUCCAUUCGCUUGUCCAGUCAAAUGAGGCUACAACUCCUAAAGCUCAACCUGGCCGUGGUCGGGCUUCUCCGGCAUCUGUCAACAAAGUAUUGCAGUACCAGUGUAAAGCAGAUGGAAAAGAACAAGGCGCCAAAGAAUGUUGUGCAUGUGCCUCUGCUUCCUCCAGCUACUAAUGAGGUCACCGAUCCAGUUGUUGAUCCUAAAACACAGGAUGUUGAUGGGACUACUUCAAGGGGUGUUGAUGCAGAGGAGGGAGGCGAGGAUCCCAGCGCCAGGAAAAGGCUUAAGCUCUAGAGCAGCUGAUGCUGAUUGAUCUACUCUUUUGGUAUAUAUGCCUUGUCCUUAUUGUAACACCCCGGAUGUAACUUUCCCAAUUUGUACUCCAACUCUUGCCGUUUCCGGCGUUAAGUUAUUUUAUUUUUCUCGGGUUCGGGUCUU
RNA transcript from Triticum aestivum (bread wheat), 4152 nucleotides. It is a transcript of the gene named replication protein A 70 kDa DNA-binding subunit B, with no coding region annotated. The transcript is spliced from 16 exons. Lineage: Eukaryota; Viridiplantae; Streptophyta; Magnoliopsida; Poales; Poaceae. The record is from RefSeq and is a predicted model, not a curated record.